AGAUAUCUCCUCGUACCUUUUGCAUCAUGAUUUAGCCAGUGUUGUCCAAGCAAAGGGUCCUAUAGUUUGACAACCCGAAACUAAGUGAGCUACUUCAAGACAGCCUAAUUAUUUAGGGCAAACCCGUCUCUGUGGCAAAAGAGUGGGAAGAGCUUCGAGUAGUGGUGACAGACCUACCGAACUUAGUUAUAGCUGGUUGCUCGGGAACUGAAUAGAAGUUCAGCCUCACGGCUUCUCCCUUCUUAUCUUGAAGAAAUGUACAGAUAAUUGAGAAACCAUGAGAGUUAGUCGAAGGGGGUACAGCCCCUUUGAAAAAAGAUACAACUUUUACAGGAGGAUAAAGAUCAUAAUAAACAAAGGCAAAAUGUUCCAGUGGGCCUAAAAGCAGCCAUCCACACAGAAAGCGUUAAAGCUCGGGCAUUAAACCCCACCCUUAAGUUCCGAUCAUUAAAUCUUAUUCCCCUAAACUUACCGAGCUGUCCCAUGCAAACAUGGGAGUAACUAUGCUAAAAUGAGUAAUAAGAGAGUAUAUGGCUCUCUCCCUGCAUACG
RNAcentral lists this ribosomal RNA (551 nucleotides) under Plectropomus areolatus (squaretail coralgrouper). RNAcentral describes it as "partial 16S ribosomal RNA". It matches the Rfam family "Bacterial large subunit ribosomal RNA", at positions 589 to 1345 of the family's 2925-position model. The record is from RNAcentral. Lineage: Eukaryota; Metazoa; Chordata; Actinopteri; Perciformes; Serranidae.